AACGCACGAGACCUGCGGACCUGCGGAGGGAUCAUUAGUGAACGCCCUCACGGGCUUAUAACUAUUCCAAACCUCUGUGAACCGUGCCCUUCGGGGCUAUUUUACAAACAUGGUGUAAUGAACGUCAUAUAUCACAACAAAACAAAACUUUCAACAACGGAUCUCU
RNAcentral lists this unclassified non-coding RNA (166 nucleotides) under soil metagenome. RNAcentral's name for it is "partial contains 5.8S ribosomal RNA, internal transcribed spacer 2, and large subunit ribosomal RNA". The record is from RNAcentral.